AAUUUGGAUCAUACAGAAUAUAUGAAAAUUGUAGUAAGACACAUUUGCUUACCAUGCCUGUGUUCUUCUAGGGUGUCAUUUGGAUUGAUGGUUCUGCUAAGGUUCUUUUCAUGGUUCUUUCCUUGGUGAAGAUUGUAGUUUUGUCUUUUAGACACAGCUUUUAUUUUUGUGUAAAUUACUUUUGAGUCUUGGGAGCUUUCACUACAUUUACAAUACUGCAAAGUAUAACUCCUACAGAGACUUUUCUCAUGCAGCCCUAAUAGGUGCAAAUCGGUAUCAUUUACUUUAAGCCAACAAUAAACAUUACAAGACCAGACCCAGCAUCCAGUGCAAAGCAGACAAAUAAAUCUGCCUUGAGUCUGACAAAUAGGGGUGUUCAAAAAGUCCUUGUACUCAGGCUUUGGUUAAGUAGCCACAUCAGCUGAAUGUAAUUUGCUGUGAAAUGGGGAAGGUAGUCCUCCUAGUCUGCCCUCUGGUUCUUCAUUUUUCUUGUUGCAGAACCAGGCUGCGUGUGCGUCAGCACAUGGUUGGGGAAGUGACAAAUGAAAGGUGUCCAUCUUCAUAUUCGGUUUUGCAUUCAGGCUGCCUGAUGUGACACAGCAGAAGGCUUUGGAGGCAGUAUGGAUUUACGUCGGGCUGAACUGACCACGUAACUAUGGCCUCACAGGGAUGCUCCAAAGCACGUAUCCAGUGCAGGAACUGGUUGUCAGCAUAGGAGGCAUAGCCCAGGAGGAGGAGGGGAGGCAGGGAGCCUGCCACUGGAGCUUGGUACUGCAGCAAUUCCCAUUUAAACAGUCCUCAGACACAAUUGUCAGCUGGUAUAAAUCAGCACACCCUUUGAGUUGCUGUAAUUUAUAAGGCUCAGACUGAUAUAUUUCAUCCUGCAACAUCAUUUAAAAGCAAUGUCUAGCGUUUUUAAGCCAAGGACCUUUGAAAUAAGAAAACAGGGCAAGAAGGAGUACUCAGGAAACUACGGGCUGGUCAGCCUCACCUCCAUCCCUGGAAAGGUGAUGGAACAGCUCAUCCUGGAGGUCAUCUCUAAGCAUGCAAAGGAAAAGAAGGUUACCAGGAGUAGUCAACACAGUUUCGUCAAUAGGAAAUCACACCUGACCAACCUUAUAGCUUUCUAUGUUGGAAUGGCUGGCUGGGUAGAUGAGGGGAGAGCAGUGGAUGUUGUCUACCUUGACCUCAGCGAGGCUUCUGACACUGUCUCCCACAACACCCUCACAGGUGGCAGGGUGGAGAGACCUCUUCUUUUGACCCAUACGAGAAGAAAAGAUCUAAUUACCAGUGCCAAAGGAACACAGGAUUGGUCCAACCUUUUACAUCCAAGUAAACAUGUAACAGACUUCGACUUCAGAACGCUCCACAAAACAUUUAGUCCAUGAAUCUGGGCUUUUUAAACAUCCUGGAACACAAAAUACCUACAGAAAAAGACUAAAAGCCACAACUAUUAAAAAAAAAAAAAAGGCAAGCUACAAGAAGAGUUCAGGAGAGACUGGGCACUACAGAGAUCCCGAUCCUAAGUUUCUGCAGUAGUAGAAAGUAUAUGACAUAAAGUUCCAUCAGGCAGCACUCUACUCCACUCUGCCUUACAGAAAAGGAAAUAAAACCUACAACAAUCUUUCCAAAAUGGAUUUGAGGGGCAAAUUCCUCCUGGGUCUUAGUUGGAUAGUUGAGCAUCCAUCUAGUAUUUGCAGAUCAGAGUUGUGACAAAUCUCAAGGGUAAACACCCACUUUCAGACAAUAGGGUGGUUUUGUGUAGUUUCCAUCAAAACAAUGGUGUAUUUUGGUCAGUGUGUUCUGCUUUCUAAAGUUCUUUAUCUUAUACACCCUCACUUCUCUUCACCUAGAUGCAAGUCAGGUCUAAGUGCAUUCUUGUAAUCCAUUUUCAUUAUAAUGCUACAUUCAGGAUUCUCUGGUCUUUGGUAUUUGAUUUGAUUUUGUUUGUAGAUACGACGUGAAUAAUGUUAAUGGAGAAUGAUACAGAUGGGAUGACUGAAUUUGGAAUAAAUUUUCAUGUACAAAUGCUGCAUCAUGAGGUUAUGUUAAUAACACAUAUCUCAAAGACUUAUCCAAUGAUAAUUAUCUAAAUGUUGAUUCCAAAAUUUUUCAUGUUCCAGAUAAGAUCUGACACUGCAAGACCACAAGCUACCUGGCUGAGGGACAGCAGUCAGUCAGCAAGAAGCACCAGGUGAUGGGAAAGGAAGAUCUGGCAAAAGGUCAGGGAAGAUUUUACCUGAAAAAACACCCCAAAAUCCAGUCCUUUGGAUCAUGACAGCCAGGUCAUGACUGAUUUACUAGACAGUUGGCACAGCAAGCCCAUGUCAUUUGUGUACAAGGUAUGAUAACGUAGAAGUAGUCAGCGCAGUGCUGUGCUUCCAAAACCUUGUAGGUGAGUUGUAUGGGAUAUUACUACAAUGAGGCAUACAGUUUAUUACCCCCUACAACUGCUUCUUUGAGCUGUUCUUCUCAGAUCUUGCUUAUAUUCGCCCAUCAGCUGCAUGAAGCAGAUGUCUCAUGCAGCUGAGAAAGCAGUUCUCAAUUCCAGGCAGAGCAGAUGGCAAGUCAGUUUUAAAGGUUUCAUCUGAAAGACCAACAUAAUGAAAUAAGACUAUAUAGUGUUCAAUCCGUCAGCACUUGCAAAGUGGUGGAAUCAAGAACAGCAGGAUUUAUUUGUUACGCUGAGAGGUAUGUUUUCCAUAUUUUUUUAUCUUUAUUGUCAGUCAUGUGCUUGCAUGACUAGUUGGGGAAUCAGAGACAGCUCUAAUGGAAAAGAGAAAUUAGGUCAUCUGGUCCAUCCUCGCUGCCAGGGCAUGACUGUUCCCUGCAGUGUAUCACUUCCCACACAGUUAUCUUUCCAACUGUCUUUUGUAAGAUGGAAAUGCAAUUCAGAGUCCCAUUUGGCUAUGACUACCAGAGCUUUUGAGGACGUUUUAUUUGGACAAAAAUGCUUAAUAAGAGACUUGGAGCUCACAGUUUUAAAUACAUUUCAAAGACAAAACAAGCAAAUCUCAGAAUUUGAUUCUUAGUAAAAACUUUUUAAUAGAAAAAGUGUGCAAUAUUUGGGAUAAUCGGGGACACUGUUUCCAUUCAGACAGGAAAUAGUUUCUAUGACUCAAUUCUACAAAUUAAACAAUAGGUUUCCUGCUAAAAAAAUUAUACAACUAGUUCAGUAAGUAGUUUAGGAAGCAGCCAGUACUUGUGAUGCUCUGAGCAGACCCUCAUCAGGAGACUCAGCACUUGUGCUAGCUGACUAUAGGCAUUCCAGGUUGCCUUGAUAAAUUACUCCAAGUAAUUAUCCCCAUCCUUCAGCAGAACAUCUUAAUGUGAAAGCACUCAGACUGUACAGAGCAGGAUUGGUUUAUUAUGGAAAGAAAUGAACAAAUGCAAAUAGAAAAAGUGAUAAAACUUAGAUGUAAGGAAGCGGUAAACUACUUCCUUUUCAGCAACUUCAGCAUUACUAACUUCCAUGCUGCCUGCGAAUGAGAGUAACCCCCAUCUUUUACCCCUCGACUACAUCACUUCGUUCACCGCCUAAGUCCAAUGGUUUCAAUUAGUAAGUGGCAGUCCAAAUAUUUCCCUAAAUUCGAUCUCCUUUCCCAAAGGACCCAUUUGCUUUGUUUUACCAGGAGGUGCCACCAUGUAGUUUGGUUUAAGCAUUUACUGUCUUAAGUUAGGGAUUCUCCAAACUCUGCUCAGCUUUGCUACAGCAUUUCCUUCUACCACCAAAUUCUCAUCCUUCACUGCCUUCACACGCUUACUUACAUCAGUUCUUGUAGUGACAUUCUUAGACCAUCGUCCUUCACUAGAGAAUCCUGUUCGCACUGCGCUCUGCAACAUUUUCACUGGGGAGGACCCAAGAGCAUUUAAGGAACUUCAGCAGAAACCCAGCAGUUCAAGCUCAUCAUGACAAAAUGAGUAAUUUCUCCUCUAUAACUUCUCUGAAAAGAUCACAACCACUACAACCUCAAGUACAAGUUCAUGUGGUUGGCUUUUUAUGUCCCACCAAAGGAACUAGAAGGUUUUAUUGGUGAAAGAUGCCUUUUCCCCUUCUCCAACAGAGGAAGAAGAGUGCUCUCAGGUGCUUCUGAGCUCAGGAGUUAAACGCUUAUUUUCUACAGUUGCCUUAUUUAAUCUGCAAAUCAAUCCACAUAGCUUUUCCUCUUGUCUCCAGCAAAUCAGACUCAAGGCUUCAAACAGAUGACAGGGUUGUUCCACCUGCACUAUAAAACCAGAAGUCAUUGUCAAGCUCUUACCAUGUUUCUUAUCUUUUAAAGAGCACGAGAGCAUUUAAUUCUUGUACAUAAAUAAUGCUUGACCUUGUGUUAAUUUAAAUGGGCUUUAGGGCUUUACCCCAUGGUUUUAGGUAGUCAUUGAAGCAUUCAGCUAGUGACCAAAGGUUGUCAAAAAGGCAUCAGUCAUGAAAGCAGGGUUAGCACAUCAGGUGUGAGUUCCUAGGGGCAUGACUUUUCUGGAUGUUUGUGUACAUAAUGGUCUCCACGGCAUGGUUUUGAAGCUUUACUGUAAUAAAAGUAACGAUUAGAUCCACUCUGACACGACAAUUUUCACUGAUUUUCUUGAAGUAACAGGCUUCGAGAUUCCACUUGAUGAGGAAAGGUGUGAUUACUAACAGAACAGAGUAAAUUAUAGUGCUUUUAUGGGUGUAGCAAUUUCAUACCAUUUCAGAAAACCAAAAAAUGUUCUAGUAUUGCAAUCCAUUGAACAGUCAACUUGUUUAAUUCUAGUGAUUUAUUAAUUAGUAAUGAGGCCUGCCUAGUUGUCUCGACAAGUGAAAUGUAGAAAGUUAAGGAAUAAAGUAGGAAGUUCCAAGAUGCUGAUACUGAUCUCGUAUUUCCAUCUGCCUGAUAAAACCCGCUAUUUUACAUUUGGAAGGCUUGAGCAUCUUUUAAAAAUCAAAGUGCCUUUCACAAUAAUGAUCCACCCUUUCUCCUCUGGUUCUAAUUAGACAAAAAUAGUAUUUGCAGUUGACCCAUCAAUCAAGACAGGUAAGCAACAUUUCCUGCCAAUAACUAACAACUUCUAACAGUGAAGUAAGACGUGAGCCACCUUUAUAAAGAGCAGCAAUAAGAAAAUAAAAUGUUUAUUUCUUUCAAAUGUCAAUGCCCAUGCUGUUAAAGAUCAUUCUGUUAGGCAACCAAAAUGAGAAUUUGGAGAUCCUCCUUCCUCAGCUGGGUUUUUUUUUCCCUUUGCAAUAUAGAUCCUGUGCACACGGACACCAAAACAGAAUGCGUCCCUUACCAACCAAACAGUCAUUGACAAAAUACAAAUUUAACUAUUGCAGACCAUCUAGAAACAGAAUCCCCACUAGAAUCAGCAAAACCUUGAGCAAAAGGAUGUGCAGCAUUAGGACCUGCCCCUGAAAAACAGCUACUAUUACAGAUACAUUGAAGCUCUGCAAUUCCUACCAUCCCUGCAUACCGCAAAAGGUUCCUGGAGCACUCUGAUCUAUUAAUCCAAGAUUGCUCUCUCUGCAGACCUCCUGACAGCAGAAUGCUGACUGGAUUUUAGCCAACAGGCAGAACUGACACUAAAUCAAGUGGGUACGAACUGGCUAAGUGUAAGCUUUUUAUUUGGAUUUCUAGCUGUCAGCAGGGUGAGGACCUGGAGCAGGCUUCCAAUAGCAAAGCAGGAAAAGAAUCUAAAUAUAAGGCUUGAUAAAGGCUUGAUAAACAUGCUGUGUAGUGCCUGUGAUGGGACUGAGUGGGAUGUGAUGAUCUAGGGGGUCUCCAGCAGUCUUCUUUUAAACACAUAAACCAUGGUAUACGCUGUCCCACUUUGAAGCAGAAGUCUCUAAUUGAUUAGAUCAGCACAUUUAAGGCUUUCUUCUCCACAGGGGACAUUUAUAUUAUUAUUUCUAUAAAGUAGUAUUUUUUGUUAUUUAUCAAAGCUGUGUUUGAACCACAUUCUGCAGCUCCACCAGAGGUGACCAUACACUCGAUGCAGAACAGCACAUAAAUGUAUUGUCUCGUUGCUCGCAGAAUGGAGCGUCACAUACAGAAGCCUAUAAACAUCUCUUCAGCCUUGACCACAGAACGCGCCUUCAUGCCUCUGCACAGCCAUGCAUCGCUUUGCAAGUGAAAGAUAUUUUCAGUUCUUUCCACUUCGGAGGUAGAACAAGAGACAGUAGUGUUUGCAUUCAAUACUCCUCUGAUCUAUGUGCUCUCUUCCUUUUUUUUCCUCUUGCCUUACAGUGCACUUUCAUUAGUGAUCACCUUGCUGUACCUCAUCCCCUCCAGGAUCCUACACACCUUGCACCUGGGUGCAGAGACCAUACCCUCCCACAAGUAUUGUCAAGGUACAAGAGAACCAUCUGUGCCCAGCCCUCACUUUAGAUCCUUAGAAGGGCAGGGUAGGAAGGAAGGGCAAGGACAGCUGGAGGGAAGCAGAGCAGGAGGGUAACUAGAACAUUAGAAACACAGAGUAGUUUUUAACUCAGUUGGUAAGCAAUUAAGAGUGGGCCUAGAAAAAGCUUUCAUUCUGUCUCCCACUGAGCAUUAUUGGAACUGUCACAGAUAAAAACUGAGGGAAGGGACAAAAUGCAACAGCAGAAACAUGGGGUCGGUUAAACUGUCUCUAGCUGCAGUACUACUGUACACAAACUUCUCUAGUGAUGCUUAGGUACACCCUACUGAUAAAAAGGUCAACCCUCUCUCAAGCACAAAGCUUAACAGCAACAAACUGGCAUGAGAGUAACAGUUUCCACUUGAUGCAAUACUUCCUGGGCACUAACAUUUAAUGCAUUUUGGCAUGGCUACAUAUUAACAAAUAUAUAUGCUUUGAAGCCUCGGAAUAAACCACAUUUUGCAUGACUACCUCUAAAACUAAUGGUAAUAGUGUUUGAAUAAAAUCUUGCUGAAGACCUGAUCUACAAAAAAUGACUUAUAUUCUUAAGGUCCUGUAUUUAAACUGAUUAAUUCUAGCAUUAAAGGUGAAUUAAGUGAUGAAUAAAGUUCACCAGCUACCUGAAACCUUUUAAAUCGGACAGCAAGAUCUUGUUCAGACCACUUAUUCCCAUCAAAUUAGCUGUAUGGAUGGGAUUUAAACCACCUAUAUAUUGAAACCGAUGGAAAGUACGCUAACAGAGCAAAAGCAGCUUUUUAUGGCAGUCUGGGUUUUCCAGAAGGGAUGAGAAAGCAGCAAAACCUUGUGUCUGCCAUUUUACAAAAUAGCCCCAAAACAUUCUGUUGACUCCCAGUUCACAUUGGCAUAGAUUGUUCCAUGAGCAGAAACUUGAGUAUUUUCUAAUCUAAACUGGGCUGAUUCAUGGAUCCUGUACUAUAGAGGCUAUAGUAUCUCUAAUACACACACAAAAUCUCUUCGGAAGACUGAGUUACAUGAAGAAUGUUAUAAUGUACAGCUGUGUUAUUGCUGCCACUGCCGAGACCAAACUUCAUUGCUCCCUGGCCGUAACACAUCAGGAGUUUUCCUUGGAGAGUGCAAUUUAAGUAAUUUAGAGCACAGAAACAAACAUCUCUUCUCCCUCUCCUUUUCCUCCCUCCUACAGGGCCUUAACGAGCCUUUAUUGUUUCCAACAGAUUUACAACAAAUCUGAAAUACCUAGCAUCUGCCCAGCAAUAACAAGAUCUGCAGCCGUAUGUAAAUUGAACCCAAGGUCUAAAAACCCCCCACCCUUCUCCCCCAAACAGGUUUUACAAACUGUCCUUUUUGUUUCCAGAGUAGAGGGAUUUUACAAUUACAAUGACCACAACAGCAGGAAUGAGAAUUUAACUAAGUGAAAGGAUUGGACAACUGAGAAUAUCAUUUGCAAUAAAAGAGCUUAUGAGCCACUUCUAAUGGCAUUUACAGAAUCUCAGCUUAGGGAUUCUUACCGUCAACUCACAGAUCCUACACUGACAAACUUCCCUUAAACGAGUUUGCACAUAUUUUUAAGCAAAUUUAAGUUUUAAGUUUUAAAAUACUUGAUCACACAGUUUGAGGCUACACUUUAUUAUCAGAGAUGUACUUACGUCUGUUUAUCGAUCUGAAGAUUCCGGCAGAAGACGAUAAACGCAUUCCUCUAGCAAGUUGGAGUCUUCACAGCGUAGUGGAAAAUACCAUGGCAGUAAUCCAGAGCUGGUACUAACAUUUCACCCUUCCCACACUGGCAUUUUAUUCAUCUGAAAGCUGGCCAAGCUGUAAUUGCUGGAGCUUUCAGCAGCCAUGUCAUCUAGCUACACUCACACAAAAGACAGCAGUUAGUUCUUGUUACAGAAGUCUGGGAUUUCAGUUGUAGAACUGGGAUGUCAGGUUUGUCCUUUUCCAAUAUACGAUGAUUUAUUUCCCAGUUUACCCUCUUGGUUUGACAUAGAAGAUAAUUUUAGGUGGCAUCACACCAUUUCUCAGACAUAUUGAGGACAUUACUAUUACUCUGAAAACCACACUAACAUUUAAAACAUUAGUACAUUUGGUAUGCUCAUGUAAAAUCUGGUUAACUAAAUUAAUAUUUCUACUGGCCUUUUUUUUUUUUUUUGGGGGGGUGGUGAUGUCUAAGUCAAAAGCUUUCAAUCCCCCAAACUUUCAACCCAUACUUACUCUGGUCUCCCUACACUGCUUUGUACUACACAAAAGAAAGCCAGAUGCAAAGUAGCAAGUGCUGUAUUUUAUAGAAUCAUAAAAUAAUUUGUCUCCUGGUAUAACACGUAGCCUGCUAUCAUGCCAAGAAUACUGCAACUAGACUUAGAGAAAAGUGUGUUUGUUGACAUUACUCAUUUCAACAAAGAUCCUGCGAAAUUAAGUACAGAAGUCUAUGGUUUGCCGCCAAACUGUUAUAACACAAAUACCUCAAAAUAAAAGUGGCUUAGCAUGAAGUACCAUCUCCGCUACCAUCACCCAUCCGGCAGAAAAGAAGUCUCUUUUUCCUUAAUAUUCUCAAAAUACUUAGAAGUUGAAACGAUUAAUGCACUACUAUGAAAUUCAUUGUAGGGGUUAAGACAGUAACUGCCCCACAGGAUUUACUAUACACACCCAUAUUCAGCAUACGAAAGUCUCAUCCUUGAUCUAAAAUGAUGCUAUUGUUUUACUAAGGUGUCUUAGAUUGAUUGUAUUGUCAACUGUCUGUCUGCCUUGCAAAUAAUAAGCGUGGAUUGGGAUCUGAGGUGUCUGUGCAGCGUUUCCUGAGCUGUGGGGCAGGUCCUUUUAUGCGAGGUGGGGCAGCACACGAGUGCAAAUUACCUCCUGGAGCUGGAAACCAUAAUGCCGCAAGAAUGCACCUAAUUAGUCUGGGUGUUGUACUAAUAAUGGAAUUUACUGGGGUUGGGGGAGGAUGACAAGGCAAAGCCAUGUAGGGAAUUAUGGUCUAUUCCUUUUUUCUGUACUAUCAUCCUACUCUCCCAUACCUUUCACUCCCUCCCCCCUCCAAAACAAUACAUCUAUUUGGCCAAAUUCUGGAAGUAACAGUAUGAGGGAAGAUGAUGCUGCAUUCAUUAUUAUUAAAGUUCAAGAGCUAACGUUGCAGUUUCAAGACUCUUUUUUGUGCAAAAUGUAGAUGCAAUGAACAAGAGACAACUAGAAUUUGCCCAGCUUGAUAUUAAAUGCUCUAAUGUCUAAGUUAAGCUAUAAUCUAGACACAAGGCCCAGUUACUGUUCCUGUAAGGAAAACUGACAAUUCUCUCAACAAGUUGCAAAAGGAAGGAAAUGAGAAGAGCAUUAGCUGACAACAUAGUGGAAGCUAAGACAGCACUCCAGAAGACAGCAAAGAAAGCAGACUCCUAAAUGAGCAAAUAAAGCUGACUGCUAAUAUGUCAGUACUGAAACAUCUUUAAUAGAAAAUGAGAGCACUUAGGAGUUAAAAACCUUUAUGAAACAAAUAAAGGAUCAAUAAGAAAUGCAUGGGGGAGGGGAAGAAAUUAUGAAACCAAAACACCAAUUAAGAAGCAUAUGAGUUUAUGUAGAAUCCUGCCACACAAUACUUUUGACAGCAAUUCAAAGUGACUGUAUGAAGAAAAUGGAAGUGAUACAAUAUUUUUUUUAAAAAAAAAAAUCAAUGCAUAUCAGUUGAAGCACAUAAUCUGAACAGUUUUAUUGUAGGAACACUCAUUGUGCACACUCAAAGAAUGAACACACACAUGGAAGGUGGAGGAUGUACCAUCAGAAGCCUGCAAGGACUAGUAAUAUGUCCUUUUCCAUAAUGUCAUGUCCUGGCUAGACAGGACACUAAUAGGAGUUAAAUAUUUUCAAAAACCCACCAACAUGGGAAACUAAGAGGUAGAGGUUUAGGAAACAAACUCUUGAGUGAUUUAGGGGAGAAGAAAAAAAAAGAAAA
Long non-coding RNA from Falco peregrinus (peregrine falcon), 10285 nucleotides. RefSeq lists it as uncharacterized. The record is from RefSeq and is a predicted model, not a curated record. The transcript has 2 exons. NCBI's taxonomy places the organism in Eukaryota, Metazoa, Chordata, Aves, Falconiformes, Falconidae.